CCCUUAGAUGUUCUGGGCCGCACGCGCGCUACACUGACGAUGGCAACGAGUUUUUCCUUCGCCGAAAGGUGUGGGUAAUCUUUUGAAACAUCGUCGUGCUGGGGAUAGAUCAUUGCAAUUUUUGAUCUUGAACGAGGAAUUCCUAGUAAGCGCGAGUCAUCAGCUCGCGUUGAUUACGUCCCUGCCCUUUGUACACACCGCCCGUCGCUCCUACCGAUUGAGUGGUCCGGUGAGGCUUUGGGAUCUGAGCAAAGAGAGCGUUUCGCUCGUUUUGCCCGGAAAACUCAGUCGAACCUUAUCAUUUAGAGGAAGGAGAAGUCGUAACA
Molecule: ribosomal RNA, 326 nt
Filed under: uncultured eukaryote
Lineage: Eukaryota
Description: partial 18S ribosomal RNA
Rfam family: Eukaryotic small subunit ribosomal RNA
Source: RNAcentral